AUGAGCCACAGACUGACACGUUUGGUGACACGCGGAAAGAGAGGCAGAAAGGUGCCCAUACUUCUUCUUGAGCGCACAAAAGCUUCGCUUGACUUCCUGGUUGAAAAACGGAGGGAAGUUGGCAUACUUGAGGAGAACCCCUUUCUGUUUGCCAGGCUUAGCACAACAACCAAUCUCCGUGGGUGUGACUGCCUCAGAAGAUAUGCAGAAGAGAGCAAGGCCAAAAACCCAGAACUGCUGAGAUCAACAAGGUUGAGGAAACAUGUUGCUACCUUAUGUCAGCUUCUCGACCUCAGCAAUCAGGAACUUGAGCAAGUUGCUCGUUUUAUGGGACAUGAUAUCCGAGUCCACUGCGAGUAUUAUCGACAGACAGAUAAAACAUUCCAAGUGGCCAAGAUUGGCAAACUUCUGUUUGCGAUGGAGCAUGGAGCAGAGUCACUGAAAGGGAAGAGUCUGCAAACACUGGACUCCGUUAUCAGUGGCAAAAGACACGCAGCCACCCCAACUAAAGAUCUGAAAGGUGUCAAAAAGAGAAGGACGUCAGAUGCAGGAAUUCAACAGGAAGCUCAUGAAGAUGGACUGGUGCACCAGGAGAUAGGUGGAGGACAAAUGGAGAGAACUGCAGAAAAACAUGAUGAUGGUAAGUCUGUAACUUUGGCACUAAUUAAGUGUUCUGAAAUCAGUGUUAAGUAUUUUUACUUCAUGGAGGGGUCCAUUCUGUUUUUUUACAUUCCAAAAUAUCAGUAAUCAAAUACGAAGGUCUAUCCUCAAAGUGUAUAAAAGUGUGUCUGAACAUUUCCAUACAUGAUAGAUUACAAAACAACAGACAUAAUAAUAACAAGACAUUGGUAAAUUUAUGGCAAAUUAUAUUUUGCUUUAAUGUUUGUGCAUUGUACUUUAAAAGGGAAAUUUCACCCGUUGGAACAUUAAUCUUUAUUGAAAGUGGGUCAUAUAUGUAGUCGAAAUGGAACACAAAUUUAGAAUUUGGUGCGUAUUUGACAGAGAAAAGACAGAACGUGACUUAAGGGCGCAUUAUGGAAGACAACAACUCCCACAAUGCACAGCUCUGCAAG
Cyprinus carpio (common carp) is the source of this 1073-nucleotide long non-coding RNA. The record is from Ensembl. Lineage: Eukaryota; Metazoa; Chordata; Actinopteri; Cypriniformes; Cyprinidae.